RNAcentral lists this ribosomal RNA (444 nucleotides) under uncultured Anaerolineae bacterium. RNAcentral describes it as "bacterial SSU rRNA". It matches the Rfam family "Bacterial small subunit ribosomal RNA", at positions 335 to 796 of the family's 1533-position model. Lineage: Bacteria; Bacillati; Chloroflexota; Anaerolineae. The record is from RNAcentral.
UGCCUACGGGUGGCAGCAGUAAGGAAUAUUGCACAAUGGGGGAAACCCUGAUGCAGCAACGCCGCGUGAGUGAUGAAGGCCUUCGGGUUGUAAAACUCUUUUCUGAGGGAUGAGGAAGGACAGUACCUUAGGAAUAAGUCUCGGCUAACUACGUGCCAGCAGCCGCGGUAAAACGUAGGAGGCGAGCGUUAUCCGGAUUUACUGGGCGUAAAGGGCAAGUAGGCGGUGGUCAAAGUUGGGCGUGACAGAUCCUGGCUUAACUGGGAGAGGUCGUUCAAAACUAGAUCACUAGAGGGCAGGAGAGGGGAGCGGAAUUCCUAGUGUAGCGGUGGAAUGCUCAGAUAUUAGGAAGAACACCAGUGGCGAAAGCGGCUUUCUGGCCUGCACCUGACGCUAAGGGGCGAAAGCUAGGGGAGCGAACGGGCUUAGAUACCCUAGUAGUCC